This 29-nucleotide non-coding RNA is filed under the name Rattus norvegicus (Norway rat). The record is from RNAcentral. Lineage: Eukaryota; Metazoa; Chordata; Mammalia; Rodentia; Muridae.
UUGUUAAACUUAACUGUGUGUGGAUGCGC